AAUAAUCCAAGAGCUAUCACACGUGACCUUAUCCUCAUCCUCCUGCCAGACAUGGCUUCUGCCAAGUUGCCUCCUCUCCACUCUCCAGAACUCACCCGUUCUCUCUCUCCCUCUCCUCCGAUUCGUUCGUCCAGCAGCUCCGGUGGCUCGUUGCCGACGGCCGGCGACGAGUUUAAUUAAAAUCUAGGGGCAUUCGUUUUCUGGGUGUGACGAUAAGAGCCUAUUUUCAGUUUUGUGCAUCAUUUAUCAAUACAUUCACAUAUCUUUUCAGGUUAAUCAAAAUAAAUGCAAAUUAAUUAAGCUUGAUAAAUCCAUUUCAAGAUACAAAGGAUCUUUAGGAGAGGAGUUUGGAGUGACAUGUUAUGAACAGACUUCUUGAAAGAGCAUACAACAAACUUAAGGUCAUAAAAGGAACUCAUCAAUUAUGCAAGUAUGAAGUACGCUGCAUUUGUGAUAAUAUGCUUGUGACAUGUCUGUGUAAUCCCAUGAAUAACCAUGCCGUUCAGUUUCACUUGUGAUGUUAUAUUUUUGGAUUUAGCAUAGGGUGGACGUAAAUUUGUUUGUGUAUAAUUGCUUAUUAUAUAUCCUAAUUUUGACAUAUUGGAUUGAUGUAUUUGCACACGAGGUGAUCUGGAAUCUUUAUUAUGUUUCUUGGCUUA
Panicum virgatum (switchgrass) is the source of this 659-nucleotide long non-coding RNA. RefSeq lists it as uncharacterized. The transcript is spliced from 5 exons. The record is from RefSeq and is a predicted model, not a curated record. Lineage: Eukaryota; Viridiplantae; Streptophyta; Magnoliopsida; Poales; Poaceae.